This 117-nucleotide small nuclear RNA is filed under the name Zea mays. RNAcentral's name for it is "U2 spliceosomal RNA". It matches the Rfam family "U2 spliceosomal RNA". Rfam says of the family: U2 is a small nuclear RNA (snRNA) component of the spliceosome (involved in pre-mRNA splicing). Complementary binding between U2 snRNA (in an area lying towards the 5' end but 3' to hairpin I) and the branchpoint sequence (BPS) of the intron results the bulging out of an unpaired adenosine, on the BPS, which initiates a nucleophilic attack at the intronic 5' splice site, thus starting the first of two transesterification reactions that mediate splicing. Lineage: Eukaryota; Viridiplantae; Streptophyta; Magnoliopsida; Poales; Poaceae. The record is from Rfam by way of RNAcentral.
AUACCUUUCUCAGCCUUUUGGCUAAAAUAAGAUGUAAUAUUUAUUCUUAUCAGUUUAAAAUUUGAUGUGGACCAUAUGUUUACUCUGAUAUUACAUUUAUUUUUCAUUUUAUCGCUA